UGGGGAAUAUUGGGCAAUGGGCGCAAGCCUGACCCAGCAACGCCGCGUGAAGGAUGAAGGUUUUCGGAUUGUAAACUUCUUUAGUCAGGGACGAAAGCAAUGACGGUACCUGAAGAAUAAGCCACGGCUAACUACGUGCCAGCAGCCGCGGUAAUACGUAGGUGGCAAGCGUUAUCCGGAUUUACUGGGUGUAAAGGGCGUGUAGGCGGCUUUUUAAGUUGGAUGUGAAACCCUGUGGCUUAACUGCAGGCUUGCAUCCAAAACUGGAGAGCUUGAGUGAUAGAGGGGAAAGUGGAAUUCCUAGUGUAGCGGUAAAAUGCGUAGAUAUUAGGAGGAACACCGGUGGCGAAGGCGACUUUCUGGCUAUCAACUGACGCUGAGGCGCGAAAGCGUGGGGAGCAAACAGG
RNAcentral lists this ribosomal RNA (407 nucleotides) under uncultured prokaryote. RNAcentral describes it as "bacterial SSU rRNA". It matches the Rfam family "Bacterial small subunit ribosomal RNA", at positions 355 to 776 of the family's 1533-position model. RNAcentral also lists the same sequence under 1 other name. The record is from RNAcentral.